CUUUACAAAGUGUCUGAGACAUACAAAGAAGGAAAAUAAUUUCCCACCUCACUCUAUCACCACCCCAGAAGAAAAAAAGGUUUCCCUGGACUAGAAGGGAGCAGUGACUGAGGGGAGGGGUGUCCUGAAAAAGGGUCCCUGGGUGACAAGUCUCCAGAAAGAGAGUGGCUGCAUCUGCAUCCAUGCAGGAUCCUUCAGCACUUCAGAGA
Non-coding RNA from Equus caballus (horse), 209 nucleotides. Lineage: Eukaryota; Metazoa; Chordata; Mammalia; Perissodactyla; Equidae. The record is from Rfam.